This 463-nucleotide ribosomal RNA is filed under the name uncultured bacterium. RNAcentral describes it as "partial 16S ribosomal RNA". It matches the Rfam family "Bacterial small subunit ribosomal RNA", at positions 28 to 507 of the family's 1533-position model. The record is from RNAcentral.
GACGAACGCUGGCGGCGUGCUUAACACAUGCAAGUCGAACGGAAAGGCCUUUUCGGAGGUACUCGAGUGGCGAACGGGUGAGUAACACGUGGGUGAUCUGCCCUGCACUCUGGGAUAAGCCUGGGAAACUGGGUCUAAUACCGGAUAGGACCGCACUUUAGUGUGUGUGGUGGAAAGUUUUUUCGGUGUAGGAUGAGCCCGCGGCCUAUCAGCUUGUUGGUGGGGUAAUGGCCUACCAAGGCGGCGACGGGUAGCCGGACUGAGAGGUUGGGCGGCCACAUUGGGACUGGGAUACGGCCCAGACUCCUACGGGAGGCAGCAGUGGGGAAUAUUGCACAAGGGGCGCAAGCCUGAUGCAGCGACGCCGCGUGGGGGAUGACGGCCUUCGGGUUGUAAACUCCUUUCGCCAGGGACGAAGCGUUUUGUGACGGUACCUGGAGAAGAAGCACCGGCUAACUACGUG